This 477-nucleotide ribosomal RNA is filed under the name uncultured bacterium. Its description in RNAcentral is "bacterial SSU rRNA". It matches the Rfam family "Bacterial small subunit ribosomal RNA", at positions 335 to 802 of the family's 1533-position model. The record is from RNAcentral.
ACUCCUACGGGAGGCAGCAGUGGGGAAUAUUGCACAAUGGGCGCAAGCCUGAUGCAGCCAUGCCGCGUGUGUGAAGAAGGCCUUCGGGUUGUAAAGCACUUUCAGUCGUGAUUUGGAAGGUAGUGUAGUUAAUAGCUGCAUUAUUUGACGUUAGCGACAGAAGAAGCACCGGCUAACUCCGUGCCAGCAGCCGCGGUAAUACGGAGGGUGCGAGCGUUAAUCGGAAUUACUGGGCGUAAAGCGCAUGCAGGUGGUUUGUUAAGUCAGAUGUGAAAGCCCGGGGCUCAACCUCGGAAUUGCAUUUGAAACUGGCAGACUAGAGUACUGUAGAGGGGGGUAGAAUUUCAGGUGUAGCGGUGAAAUGCGUAGAGAUCUGAAGGAAUACCGGUGGCGAAGGCGGCCCCCUGGACAGAUACUGACACUCAGAUGCGAAAGCGUGGGGAGCAAACAGGAUUAGAUACCCUGGUAGCUACGAGU